This 569-nucleotide ribosomal RNA is filed under the name Cryptorhynchinae gen. sp. ARC4856. RNAcentral describes it as "SSU rRNA". It matches the Rfam family "Eukaryotic small subunit ribosomal RNA", at positions 30 to 581 of the family's 1831-position model. The record is from RNAcentral. Lineage: Eukaryota; Metazoa; Arthropoda; Insecta; Coleoptera; Curculionidae.
GCUUGUCUCAAAGAUUAAGCCAUGCAUGUCUCAGUACAAGCCAAAUUAAGGUGAAACCGCGAAAGGCUCAUUAAAUCAGUUAUGGUUCCUUAGAUCGUACCCACAAUUACUUGGAUAACUGUGGUAAUUCUAGAGCUAAUACAUGCAUACAGAGCUCCGACCGGAGACGGGAGGAGUGCUUUUAUUAGAUCAAAACCAAUCGGUGGCGGGCUCGUCAUCGUACAACUUGGUGACUCUGAAUAACUUUACGCUGAUCGCACGGUCAUCGCGCCGGCGACGCAUCUUUCAAAUGUCUGCCUUAUCAACUGUCGAUGGUAGGUUCUGCGCCUACCAUGGUCGUAACGGGUAACGGGGAAUCAGGGUUCGAUUCCGGAGAGGGAGCCUGAGAAACGGCUACCACAUCCAAGGAAGGCAGCAGGCGCGCAAAUUACCCACUCCCGGCACGGGGAGGUAGUGACGAAAAAUAACGAUACGGGACUCAUCCGAGGCCCCGUAAUCGGAAUGAGUACACUCUAAACCCUUUAACGAGGAUCAAUUGGAGGGCAAGUCUGGUGCCAGCAGCCGCGGUA